This is a long non-coding RNA of Musa acuminata AAA Group (dessert banana), 286 nucleotides long. RefSeq lists it as uncharacterized. The record is from RefSeq and is a predicted model, not a curated record. Lineage: Eukaryota; Viridiplantae; Streptophyta; Magnoliopsida; Zingiberales; Musaceae. The transcript is spliced from 2 exons.
GUCAAACGUUGUCUUCUCCUUUCUACUGCGCCAUGGAUUUUGUUGGAUGCAAGCGGCGGUGUGCUCCCAACACCAUCAGACCAUGAAUUCUAGGCAUGACAAAAGUUAUACGUGGCUAUGAACUGGUUCUUUGCCCAUGUGCAUCGAAACAUUGUCAUCUUGUGCUUCUUCUUCCUGACACUCCAAAGUUCUUACCAACUCACAGCUGUUUUUGCUUGUUUUCAUCGCUCGCCUGUGGCUGUUUGACUUAUCUACAUUCAAAUAAAAUUUCUUUGGCCCAAGAUUA